Molecule: long non-coding RNA, 365 nt
Organism: Daphnia pulicaria
Lineage: Eukaryota; Metazoa; Arthropoda; Branchiopoda; Diplostraca; Daphniidae
Exons: 3
Source: RefSeq, a predicted model, not a curated record
CAUGUUUUAAUUUGCUUCUUUGAUAUUGUAAUGAUGAAUCACUAUUCACCAUCUUUCGACUGAAACUUUGUGAUGGUAUAUUUUUUUACCUGAUGCAUAAUUUCAGUAAGAAAAAUAGCGCCGCAUAAUUCGCUUCUCUAAGGAUUACAACUUUUGUUUAGGUUUUCGGUCGCUGCGGUCAUCGACUAGAAAUGCUGUGCAAUGCAGGUUUUCCCGUUCGACGAGGUCAAUGGGGAAGAAAGCUGUGAAUUACAGGUAUGCAAAAGUAGGAAAACACCGGGGACGUCAUUUUCGUUUCAAUUCUUACUACGAAGAUAUUGUUCAUAAAUUUUAGAAAUUUGAUGUGAUGACAAUAAAUAUGUUUU